GUAAACAGAAUAUACAGUCAUGUAUAGUCGGGCACUUGGAUUUUCCCGGAUAUGUGGUUUAACCAGAUUGAGCAGCGUCAGCUGGCCAAGAGUGGCUCCAGCACUGUGCAGACAUCAGCAUCGGACCUUCGACUCUGAAUCUACGCAGGUCAAAGUGCUGUAUGAUGGACUGUGUCCAAUAUGUGUCGCCGAGAUCCGCUUCCUUCAGUUGGUGCAGAGAAAUAUUAAGCCCGGGAGGGUGAAUUUCGUUGAUAUCUCACUGGCUGGUUACGAUGGAGCCAAACACGGUAACGUCAGCUAUGAGAUGGCCAUGGAGGUGAUGCACGUGAUCGACGAGAAAGAGCAGGUCCACCGGGGGGUCCCUGCCUUCGCAGUGAUGUACAACGCGGUGGGCCUCGGCUGGCUCGGCCGCUUGAUGAUGUCGGCCCCCGUGAGGCCUCUGAUGGACCAGGCUUAUGCCGUUUUUGCAAGGAAUCGCCUGAAGUGGACGGGACGCGGAGAGGAGUGCAGCAAAGGACGCUGUGAAAAGAGAACACGCUGAAUAUGGACUGUAUCAAAGUUCCUCAUGAAUAAUUACAUCGGAAAUAUAACGGUACACACGUUAUCACAACCACUGAACCAAAUCAUCAGAAGAGCUGUAAAAACAUAAUGUGAUUAAAACAAAGGUAUUGUUCCUAGUAUUGUUAUUACUAAUUUUAUGCAGUAUUCAACCAUUGUAAAGGCUUUAGUGGGUUAAAAAGAAGCAUGAAAAGCUGCAGAAGGCAGAAUAAAACACGGUUGUAAAUGGGAACAGGAAAUCUCUGAAGCCAAAUACAAACAAUUUCCUGACGAUGGACAGAAAUCCAGUAGAACUCGG
This 856-nucleotide long non-coding RNA is filed under the name Takifugu rubripes (torafugu). Its description in RNAcentral is "lncRNA (ENSTRUG00000024670.2)". The record is from RNAcentral. Lineage: Eukaryota; Metazoa; Chordata; Actinopteri; Tetraodontiformes; Tetraodontidae.